CCUACGGGAGGCAGCAGUGGGGAAUUUUGGACAAUGGGCGCAAGCCUGAUCCAGCAAUGCCGCGUGCAGGAUGAAGGCCUUCGGGUUGUAAACUGCUUUUGUACGGAACGAAAAAGUCUGCCCUAAUACGGUGGGCCCAUGACGGUACCGUAAGAAUAAGCACCGGCUAACUACGUGCCAGCAGCCGCGGUAAUACGUAGGGUGCGAGCGUUAAUCGGAAUUACUGGGCGUAAAGCGUGCGCAGGCGGUUAUAUAAGACAGAUGUGAAAUCCCCGGGCUCAACCUGGGACCUGCAUUUGUGACUGUAUAGCUAGAGUACGGUAGAGGGGGAUGGAAUUCCGCGUGUAGCAGUGAAAUGCGUAGAUAUGCGGAGGAACACCGAUGGCGAAGGCAAUCCCCUGGACCUGUACUGACGCUCAUGCACGAAAGCGUGGGGAGCAAACAGGAUUAGAUACCCUGGUAGUCCACGCCCUAAACGAUGUCAACUGGUUGUUGGGUCUUCACUGACUCAGUAACGAAGCUAACGCGUGAAGUUGACCGCCUGGGGAGUACGGCCGCAAGGUUGAAACUUAAAGGAAUUGACGG
This 585-nucleotide ribosomal RNA is filed under the name uncultured bacterium. RNAcentral's name for it is "bacterial SSU rRNA". It matches the Rfam family "Bacterial small subunit ribosomal RNA", at positions 338 to 916 of the family's 1533-position model. The record is from RNAcentral.